Molecule: non-coding RNA, 85 nt
Organism: Bombyx mori (domestic silkworm)
Lineage: Eukaryota; Metazoa; Arthropoda; Insecta; Lepidoptera; Bombycidae
Source: Rfam
UUAACUUAAUUUUGUAUGGAGUUGGAAUAAGUUUCCUUCCUUUGCCACUAGGAGCGCUUUUCCAACUCCAUACAAAUUUGAGUUA